CACCUUUCUUUCUUUUUUGAUUGUUACUAGCUACCAAUAUUCAUUCUUUAUUUCAAGAACGAUAUCAUUUAAUUAAUUAGUUCCUACAAAAUGCCAUGCAUAUUUACUUUAUUUAAAACAUACAAUUUGCCAGAUAUAAUAUAUAUGUAACAACUAUGUUGAUGCACGAAUUUCAACAAAGUAUAUUUGUAAGUUCUUUGAUAAGGGAAAAACAUUCUCAUUGCGUUGAAGGUCGGGAGCUAGGCCGUUCUCGCGAUAAACAUAGAGUUUAUUUGUUUUAUAGCUGCGUCUUGUGAAAGACUGCCUACGUACCCUUAGAAAGGGAUCAAGCCAUUCGUAGUUCAUAUUAAAACAAGUGGGAGCUAGGCCAUAUUUGCGGCUAGGCGAUCUGUUGACGUGCUGGAUAGCUUGGGGACGAUUUGGACGAGCCGAGCUGUUAACUGAGAAGCUGGACGAGCUGAGCAGUCAACAGAGAAGCUAGACGAGCCGGGAGAUGAGAUUGACGAUCUGGAUCGUUAGGCGAGCUGAAGAGCUUGAAGACGAGCUGAAGAGCUUGAUGACGAGCUGAGGAGCUUGAAGACGAGAUGAAUAGCUUGCAGACGAGCUGAAGAGCUUGAUGACGAGCUGAAGAGCUUGAUGACGAGCUGAAGAGCUUGAUGACGAGCUGAAGAGCUUGAUGACGAGCUGAAGAGCUUGAUGACGAGCUGAAUAGCUUGCAGACGAGCUGAAGAGCUUGAUGACGAGCUGAAGAGUUUGAUGACGAGCUGAAGAGCUUGAUGACGAGCUGAAGAGCUUGAUGACGAGCUGAAUAGCUUGCAGGCGAGCUGAAGAGCUUGAUGACGAGCUGAAGAGUUUGAUGACGAGCUGAAGAGUUUGAUGACGAGCUGAAGAGCUUGAUGAUGAGCUGAAGAGCUUGAUGACGAGCUGAAUAGCUUGCAGACGAGCUGAAGAGCUUGAUGACGAGCUGAAUAGUUUGAUGACGAGCUGAAGAGCUUGAAGACGUUUUUAGUAUGGAUUUCUUCUCCUUUUUUUCCUCCCCCUCUCUUCAAUGAGAUGCCUCUCUAUUUAUA
RNAcentral lists this long non-coding RNA (1070 nucleotides) under Arabidopsis lyrata. RNAcentral describes it as "long non-coding RNA (ALYR_LNC002555)". The record is from RNAcentral. Lineage: Eukaryota; Viridiplantae; Streptophyta; Magnoliopsida; Brassicales; Brassicaceae.